This 274-nucleotide ribosomal RNA is filed under the name uncultured bacterium. RNAcentral describes it as "partial 16S ribosomal RNA". It matches the Rfam family "Bacterial small subunit ribosomal RNA", at positions 523 to 796 of the family's 1533-position model. The record is from RNAcentral.
AUACGGAGGGUGCAAGCGUUAAUCGGAAUUACUGGGCGUAAAGCGUACGUAGGCGGUCCGUUAAGUUAGAUGUGAAAGCCCCGGGCUUAACCUGGGAACUGCAUUUAAAACUGGCGGACUAGAGUUGGGUAGAGGGGAGUGGAAUUUCAGGUGUAGCGGUGAAAUGCGUAGAGAUCUGAAGGAACACCAGUGGCGAAGGCGACUCCCUGGACUCGAACUGACGCUGAGGUACGAAAGCGUGGGUAGCAAACGGGAUUAGAAACCCGUGUAGUCC